UGGGGAAUAUUGCACAAUGGGCGCAAGCCUGAUGCAGCGACGCCGCGUGAGGGAUGACGGCCUUCGGGUUGUAAACCUCUGUUAGCAUCGAAGAAGCGAAAGUGACGGUAGGUGCAGAGAAAGCGCCGGCUAACUACGUGCCAGCAGCCGCGGUAAUACGUAGGGCGCGAGCGUUGUCCGGAAUUAUUGGGCGUAAAGAGCUUGUAGGCGGUUGGUCGCGUCUGCUGUGAAAGGCCGGGGCUUAACUCCGGUUUUGCAGUGGGUACGGGCUAACUAGAGUGCAGUAGGGGAGACUGGAAUUCCUGGUGUAGCGGUGGAAUGCACAGAUAUCAGGAGGAACACCGAUGGCGAAGGCAGGUCUCUGGGCUGUAACUGACGCUGAGAAGCGAAAGCAUGGGGAGCGAACAGGAUUAGAUACCCUGGUAGUCCAUGCCGUAAACGUUGGGCACUAGGUGUGGGGGACAUUCCACGUUUUCCGCGCCGUAGCUAACGCAUUAAGUGCCCCGCCUGGGGAGUACGGCCGCAAGGCU
RNAcentral lists this ribosomal RNA (530 nucleotides) under uncultured bacterium. Its description in RNAcentral is "bacterial SSU rRNA". It matches the Rfam family "Bacterial small subunit ribosomal RNA", at positions 355 to 895 of the family's 1533-position model. The record is from RNAcentral.